This 197-nucleotide microRNA precursor is filed under the name Oryza sativa Japonica Group (Japanese rice). RNAcentral's name for it is "MIR812 microRNA precursor family". It matches the Rfam family "MIR812 microRNA precursor family". Lineage: Eukaryota; Viridiplantae; Streptophyta; Magnoliopsida; Poales; Poaceae. The record is from Rfam by way of RNAcentral.
AAUAAGUGCAGUUUUACACUAUUCAUGUUUAACGUUUGACCGUUCGUCUUAUUUGAAAAUAUUUUAUGAUUAGUAUUUUUAUUACUAUUAGAUGAUAAAACAUGAAUAGUAUUUUAUGUAUGACUAAAUAUUUUUAAAUUUUUCAAAUAAGACGGACGGUCAAACGUUGAACACGGAUAUCUAUGACUGCACUUAUU